This 464-nucleotide ribosomal RNA is filed under the name uncultured bacterium. RNAcentral's name for it is "partial 16S ribosomal RNA". It matches the Rfam family "Bacterial small subunit ribosomal RNA", at positions 339 to 795 of the family's 1533-position model. The record is from RNAcentral.
CUACGGGGGGCAGCAGUGGGGAAUAUUGGACAAUGGACGAAAGUCCGAUCCAGCGACACCGCGUGGGGGAUGAAGGCUUUCGGGUUGUAAACCCCUUUUCUGGAGGAAGAAUAAGGUUGGGAGGAAAUGCCCAUCCGAUGACGGUACUCCAGGAAUAAGCAUCGGCAAACUUCGUGCCAGCAGCCGCGGUAAGACGAAGGAUGCGAGCGUUAUCCGGAAUUACUGGGCGUAAAGGACGUCUAGGCGGUUGGAUAAGUCAUUUGUGAAAUCCCAGGGCUUAACCCUGGAAGGUCUUGUGAUACGGUCCGGCUUGGGUGUAGGAGAGGAGAGCGGAACUCACAGAGUAGCGGUGGAAUGCGUAGAUACUGUGAGGUACCCCGAUGGCGAAGGCAGCUCUCUGGCCUACUACCGACGCUGAAGCGUGAAAGCGUGGGGAGCAAAGGGGAUUAGAUACCCUUGUAGUC